This 277-nucleotide unclassified non-coding RNA is filed under the name uncultured Saccharomycetales. Its description in RNAcentral is "sequence contains ITS2". The stretch from base 1 to 52 matches the Rfam family "5.8S ribosomal RNA", at positions 103 to 154 of the family's 154-position model. The record is from RNAcentral. Lineage: Eukaryota; Fungi; Ascomycota; Saccharomycetes.
AACGCACAUUGCACCCUCUGGUAUUCCAGAGGGUAUGCCUGUUUGAGCGUCAUUUCUCUCUCAAACCUUCGGGUUUGGUAUUGAGUGAUACUCUUAGUUAAACUGAGCGUUUGCUUGAAAUAUAUUGGCACGAGUGGUGCUGAGCAUGUCUCUGAAUAUCAAUGUAUUAGGUUUAUCCAACUCGUUGUUUUUCUUGGGCCGACUCUGUACUAGGCUCUGCCUUAUAAAUCCAAACAAGUUUGACCUCAAAUCAGGUAGGAUUACCCGCUGAACUUAA